This 460-nucleotide long non-coding RNA is filed under the name Heterocephalus glaber (naked mole-rat). RNAcentral describes it as "lncRNA (ENSHGLG00100039144.1)". Lineage: Eukaryota; Metazoa; Chordata; Mammalia; Rodentia; Bathyergidae. The record is from RNAcentral.
GAAACUGAGUCUAAUCCCGUGGUGGGGAAGCGGUUAAAAGGUCACUUCACGCCUGUUCCUGAUUUAGGGACCGUGGAUACAUCAGUCAACACAGGCUUGGAGCCUGUCAGAGCUAGAAGGUGCCUUAGGGAGUCACUAAUCUGGCCUCCUCCGCUCAGCAGGAAGAAACAGAGACCCACAGAGGGAAAGCAGCUUGCCCAGUCACACAGCCGAAGUGCUGGUUCCAGCUUAUUCCUCCUUUACACUCCUUCUCUGGCAGUCUUCUAUGGGUUGGAGUUGGAAGAAGCAGACAGUCAACCCAGAAAGGCCUCAGUGAAGCAGAGAGAGUGAAUGCUCCAGAGUCUACCGCAGUGUGCCCACUGCUGCCACGUUGCUGCUGCCGCCACCACCACCAAGCAGGUCUUGGGGUCAGAAAGAACCUUCCUAUGAGCUUUCUGCCAGCAAGGGAAGAGGCACAAGG